This 948-nucleotide ribosomal RNA is filed under the name Mesobacillus thioparans. Its description in RNAcentral is "bacterial SSU rRNA". It matches the Rfam family "Bacterial small subunit ribosomal RNA", at positions 35 to 971 of the family's 1533-position model. The record is from RNAcentral. Lineage: Bacteria; Bacillati; Bacillota; Bacilli; Caryophanales; Bacillaceae.
GACUGCGCGUGCGUAUACUGCAGUCGAGCGGAUCUUCAUUAGCUUGCUUUUGAAGAUCAGCGGCGGACGGGUGAGUAACACGUGGGCAACCUGCCUGUAAGACUGGGAUAACUUCGGGAAACCGGAGCUAAUACCGGAUAAUCCUUUCCCUCACAUGAGGGAAAGCUGAAAGACGGUUUCGGCUGUCACUUACAGAUGGGCCCGCGGCGCAUUAGCUAGUUGGUGAGGUAACGGCUCACCAAGGCAACGAUGCGUAGCCGACCUGAGAGGGUGAUCGGCCACACUGGGACUGAGACACGGCCCAGACUCCUACGGGAGGCAGCAGUAGGGAAUCUUCCGCAAUGGACGAAAGUCUGACGGAGCAACGCCGCGUGAACGAUGAAGGCUUUCGGGUCGUAAAGUUCUGUUGUCAGGGAAGAACAAGUACCGGAGUAACUGCCGGUACCUUGACGGUACCUGACCAGAAAGCCACGGCUAACUACGUGCCAGCAGCCGCGGUAAUACGUAGGUGGCAAGCGUUGUCCGGAAUUAUUGGGCGUAAAGCGCGCGCAGGCGGUUCCUUAAGUCUGAUGUGAAAGCCCCCGGCUCAACCGGGGAGGGUCAUUGGAAACUGGGGAACUUGAGUGCAGAAGAGGAGAGCGGAAUUCCACGUGUAGCGGUGAAAUGCGUAGAGAUGUGGAGGAACCCAGUGGCGAAGGCGGCUCUCUGGUCUGUAACUGACGCUGAGGCGCGAAAGCGUGGGGAGCGAACAGGAUUAGAUACCCUGGUAGUCCACGCCGUAAACGAUGAGUGCUAAGUGUUAGAGGGUUUCCGCCCUUUAGUGCUGCAGCAAACGCAUUAAGCACUCCGCCUGGGGAGUACGGCCGCAAGGCUGAAACUCAAAGGAAUUGACGGGGGCCCGCACAAGCGGUGGAGCAUGUGGUUAAUUCGAAGCAACGCGAAGACCUU